UGGGGAAUAUUGCACAAUGGAGGGAACUCUGAUGCAGCGACGCCGCGUGAACGAAGAAGGCUUUCGAGUCGUAAAGUUCUUUUAUAUGGGAAGAUAAUGACGGUACCAUAAGAAAAAGCCCCGGCUAACUACGUGCCAGCAGCCGCGGUAAUACGUAGGGGGCUAGCGUUGUCCGGAAUCACUGGGCGUAAAGGGUUCGCAGGCGGAAAUGCAAGUCAGGUGUAAAAGGCAGUAGCUUAACUACUGUAAGCAUUUGAAACUGCAUAUCUUGAGAAGAGUAGAGGUAAGUGGAAUUUUUAGUGUAGCGGUGAAAUGCGUAGAUAUUAAAAAGAAUACCAGUGGCGAAGGCGACUUACUGGGCUCAUUCUGACGCUGAGGAACGAAAGCGUGGGUAGCAAACAGG
RNAcentral lists this ribosomal RNA (403 nucleotides) under Bacteroidota bacterium. RNAcentral describes it as "Bacteroidetes bacterium partial 16S ribosomal RNA". It matches the Rfam family "Bacterial small subunit ribosomal RNA", at positions 355 to 776 of the family's 1533-position model. The record is from RNAcentral. RNAcentral also lists the same sequence under 2 other names. Lineage: Bacteria; Pseudomonadati; Bacteroidota.